Molecule: ribosomal RNA, 486 nt
Filed under: Sillago japonica (Japanese sillago)
Lineage: Eukaryota; Metazoa; Chordata; Actinopteri; Sillaginidae
Description: partial 16S ribosomal RNA
Rfam family: Bacterial large subunit ribosomal RNA
Source: RNAcentral
CUUGCUCUUUANUGNNGGCCCGNAUGAAUGGCGUGACGAGGGCUUGACUGUCUCCUUUUUCAGGUCAAUGAAAUUGAUCUCCCCGUGCAGAAGCGGGGAUAUUAACAUAAGACGAGAAGACCCUAUGGAGCUUUAGACACUAAGGCAGACCACGUUAAACAUCCCCUGUGAAAGGGUUAAACUGUAUGGCCACUGCCCUAAUGUCUUCGGUUGGGGUGACCGUGGGGGAAAACAGAGCCCCCAUGCGGAAAGGACCACCGUGUCCUGAACCAAGAGCUUCCACUCUAAUGCCCAGAAUUUCUGACUAAAAGUGAUCCGGCAACGCCGAUUAACGAACCAAGUUACCCUAGGGAUAACAGCGCAAUCCUCUUUUAGAGCUCAUAUCGACAAGAGGGUUUACGACCUCGAUGUUGGAUCAGGACAUCCUAAUGGUGCAACCACUAUUAAGGGUUCGUUUGUUCAACGAUUAAAGUCCUACGUGAUCUG